UUGUGACCGUUAUAAUGGGCAUG
Molecule: microRNA, 23 nt
Filed under: Capitella teleta
Lineage: Eukaryota; Metazoa; Annelida; Polychaeta; Capitellidae
Description: cte-miR-2001
Source: miRBase by way of RNAcentral